RNAcentral lists this ribosomal RNA (411 nucleotides) under Triticum aestivum (bread wheat). Its description in RNAcentral is "partial small subunit ribosomal RNA". The record is from RNAcentral. Lineage: Eukaryota; Viridiplantae; Streptophyta; Magnoliopsida; Poales; Poaceae.
AUGUGGACUAUCUCUGCGAUGUCUUCAUCACCACCAAGCAUCGACACAUUCCCUUCCCCAAGAAAGGCGAACUUCAGGGUUGCAGGACGCCUUGGCCUCGUCCAUGGCUACGUGUGCGGGCCUAUCAUCCCCUCAACCCACGGCAACUACGGUGGUUGUCGCUAUUUCCUGCUAUUGGUUGAUGACUGCACCCGCUGCAUGUGGGUAGUCUUCCUAGCAGGAAAAUGGGAUGCUGCUGCUUCAAUUCAACGAGUCCAAGCAGCAGCUGAAGCAGAGUGUGGUCGUCCACUCCAUGUCUUCCGCACCGACAACGGUGGCGAAUUCACCUCGCUGGAGUUUGUACACCAUUGCGAGGAGCAAAGUGUGCAAGCCAGUUCACGGCUCCCUACUCCCCACAGCAGAAUGGAGUAA